Molecule: unclassified non-coding RNA, 115 nt
Filed under: fungal sp.
Lineage: Eukaryota; Fungi
Description: partial internal transcribed spacer region
Source: RNAcentral
CUCGACCCACUUGUGCGUCUUGUAGCCCCGGUGGGUGAGCAGGCGGUGAUAGCCCAUCCCGAUGCCGAGCGAGCCGGCCACCCACCAGAAGAGGACCAUCACCGCGAUCGCGCCG